GAUGAACGCUGGCGGCGUGCCUAAUACAUGCAAGUCGAGCGAACAGAUGAGGAGCUUGCUCCUCUGACGUUAGCGGCGGACGGGUGAGUAACACGUGGAUAACCUACCUAUAAGACUGGGAUAACUUCGGGAAACCGGAGCUAAUACCGGAUAAUAUAUUGAACCGCAUGGUUCAAUAGUGAAAGACGGUUUUGCUGUCACUUAUAGAUGGAUCCGCGCCGCAUUAGCUAGUUGGUAAGGUAACGGCUUACCAAGGCAACGAUGCGUAGCCGACCUGAGAGGGUGAUCGGCCACACUGGAACUGAGACACGGUCCAGACUCCUACGGGAGGCAGCAGUAGGGAAUCUUCCGCAAUGGGCGAAAGCUUGACGGAGCAACGCCGCGUGAUUGAUGAAGGUCUUCGGAUCGUAAAACUCUGUUAUUAGGGAAGAACAAAUGUGUAAGUAACUAUGCACGUCUUGACGGUACCUAAUCAGAAAGCCACGGCUAACUACGUG
This 497-nucleotide ribosomal RNA is filed under the name uncultured bacterium. RNAcentral's name for it is "partial 16S ribosomal RNA". It matches the Rfam family "Bacterial small subunit ribosomal RNA", at positions 28 to 507 of the family's 1533-position model. The record is from RNAcentral.